Molecule: non-coding RNA, 129 nt
Organism: Pseudonaja textilis
Lineage: Eukaryota; Metazoa; Chordata; Lepidosauria; Squamata; Elapidae
Source: RefSeq, a predicted model, not a curated record
GCAAAUUACAAUCUGAGAUGGACCUGUUAGUAGGAAAGGAGACUAGAAUGAGCAGUAAUACUUUGCAUGAUGCAUCAAACCUGAAGUCAAGAUGUUUGUUAUUUAUUUGCACAAGGGAAUCUUGCAAAG